CGCGCGGUGACGUCACUUCCGUCUCCCCCAAUCCCCCCUCAGCAAUGGCGGUUCGGGUCCGGGUUCCCCCCGGGGCCGCCCCGGAGCCGCUCGCGGUUCAGCUCCUGCCCUGCCGCGUGCAGCACGACGGGCCCGCGCCCGUGGCCGCCUUCCUGCGCGCCCGGCCCGGCCCCGGCGGCGAGCUCUGGGCCUCGUUCCGGGGGCGCCGCCUGGGGGGCCGGGAGCUGCCGCUGCCCCCCGGCUACAGCGGGGUGCUGCUGAGGGGGGGCCAGCCCGGGGAGCCCCCCCUGGGCCAGCCCGGGGAGCCCCAGGCCGGGGGGGGGUGACGGUGGCCGGGACCUUCGGGGCCAUCACGGACUGGGGGGGGGACAGCGCCCCGCCCCCGGGGCGGGGCCUGGCCCGGGCCCUGCAGUGGGGACCCCUCGCCCGGGCCCUCCACGCCCCCGUGCCUGAGGACAGCGAUGAGGAGGCGGAGCCAUGACAGGCCACGCCCACCGGAGCCACGCCCCUCCCGUGCCACCAACAGACCCGGCCUGGCUGAGGCCACGCCCACCACCGGAGCCACGCCCACCUCAUUAACAGAGCUGGCCACACCCACUGGGCGGGGCUUAUUUAAUCCAGAGUGCCUGAAGCCCCUCCCAGUGUGGGCGGAGCCUGUGGAAGCCACACCCACUUUAAUUAAAAUACCAGAAUUAUUCACAGGAGGCUCCACCCACAACAAAGCCUGAUUGUGGGUGUGGCCUCACAAAGCCACACCCAGAGUGGGUGGAGCCUCCAAAAGCCACACCCACUGCAAAAAUGGGUGUGGCCUGAUAAGACCCCGCCCCUUUUAUGGUCAAUAAAGGAACUGCAGCGCCAGGUG
Molecule: RNA transcript, 862 nt
Organism: Passer domesticus (house sparrow)
Lineage: Eukaryota; Metazoa; Chordata; Aves; Passeriformes; Passeridae
Gene: RNASEH2C
Gene name: ribonuclease H2 subunit C
Exons: 4
Source: RefSeq, a predicted model, not a curated record